GUUAUAGGGUCAAGCGAACAAGUGCAUGUGGUGGAUGCCUUGGCGAUCACAGGCGAUGAAGGACGCGGUAGCCUGCGAAAAGCUACGGGGAGCUGGCAAACAAGCUUUGAUCCGUAGAUGUCCGAAUGGGGAAACCCACUCCGUAUGGAGUAUCCAUGGCUGAAUACAUAGGCCAUGCGAAGCGAACGCGGUGAACUGAAACAUCUAAGUAACCGCAGGAAAAGAAAUCAACCGAGAUUCCCAAAGUAGUGGCGAGCGAAAUGGGAUGAGCCUUGCACUCUUUAUUUGUAUUGUUAGCCGAACGCUCUGGAAAGUGCGGCCAUAGCAGGUGAUAGCCCUGUAGGCGAAAACAGUAUGAAAGAACUAGGUGUGCGACAAGUAGGGCGGGACACGUGAAAUCCUGUCUGAAGAUGGGGGGACCAUCCUCCAAGGCUAAAUACUCGUGAUCGACCGAUAGUGAACCAGUACCGUGAGGGAAAGGCGAAAAGAACCCCGGGAGGGGAGUGAAAUAGAUCCUGAAACCGCAUGCAUACAAACAGUCGGAGCCUCUUUAUGGGGUGACGGCGUACCUUUUGUAUAAUGGGUCAGCGACUUACGUUCAGUAGCAAGCUUAACCGUAUAGGGCAGGCGUAGCGAAAGCGAGUCCGAAUAGGGCGUUCAGUUGCUGGGCGUAGACCCGAAACCAGGUGAUCUAUCCAUGGCCAGGAUGAAGGUGCGGUAACACGUACUGGAGGUCCGAACCCACUAACGUUGAAAAGUUAGGGGAUGAGCUGUGGAUAGGGGUGAAAGGCUAAACAAACCUGGAAAUAGCUGGUUCUCUCCGAAAACUAUUUAGGUAGUGCCUCGUGUCUCACCUUCGGGGGUAGAGCACUGUCAUGGUUGGGGGGUCUAUUGCAGAUUACCCCGCCAUAGCAAACUCCGAAUACCGAAGAGUGCAAUCACGGGAGACAGACAUCGGGUGCUAACGUCCGGUGUCAAGAGGGAAACAACCCAGACCGCCAGCUAAGGUCCCCAAAUAUGGCUAAGUGGGAAACGAAGUGGGAAGGCUAAAACAGUCAGGAGGUUGGCUUAGAAGCAGCCACCCUUUAAAGAAAGCGUAAUAGCUCACUGAUCGAGUCGUCCUGCGCGGAAGAUGUAACGGGGCUAAGCCAUAUACCGAAGCUGCGGAUGCGUGC
RNAcentral lists this ribosomal RNA (1175 nucleotides) under Burkholderia ubonensis. Its description in RNAcentral is "bacterial LSU rRNA". It matches the Rfam family "Bacterial large subunit ribosomal RNA", at positions 1 to 1213 of the family's 2925-position model. Lineage: Bacteria; Pseudomonadati; Pseudomonadota; Betaproteobacteria; Burkholderiales; Burkholderiaceae. The record is from RNAcentral.